Molecule: ribosomal RNA, 430 nt
Filed under: Fusobacteriota bacterium
Lineage: Bacteria; Fusobacteriati; Fusobacteriota
Description: Fusobacteria bacterium partial 16S ribosomal RNA
Rfam family: Bacterial small subunit ribosomal RNA
Source: RNAcentral
UAGGGAAUCUUCGGCAAUGGACGAAAGUCUGACCGAGCAACGCCGCGUGAGUGAAGAAGGUUUUCGGAUCGUAAAACUCUGUUGUUAGAGAAGAACAAGGAUGAGAGUAGAAUGUUCAUCCCUUGACGGUAUCUAACCAGAAAGCCACGGCUAACUACGUGCCAGCAGCCGCGGUAAUACGUAGGUGGCAAGCGUUGUCCGGAUUUAUUGGGCGUAAAGCGAGCGCAGGCGGUUUCUUAAGUCUGAUGUGAAAGCCCCCGGCUCAACCGGGGAGGGUCAUUGGAAACUGGGAAACUUGAGUGCAGAAGAGGAGAGUGGAAUUCCAGGUGUAGCGGUGAAAUGCGUGGAUAUAUGGAGGAACACCAGUGGCGAAGGCGGCUAUCUGGUCUGUAACUGACGUUGAGGGUCGAAAGCGUGGGGGGCAAACAGG